This 76-nucleotide transfer RNA is filed under the name Polymorphobacter sp. Its description in RNAcentral is "tRNA-Lys". It matches the Rfam family "tRNA". Rfam says of the family: Transfer RNA (tRNA) molecules are approximately 80 nucleotides in length. Their secondary structure includes four short double-helical elements and three loops (D, anti-codon, and T loops). Lineage: Bacteria; Pseudomonadati; Pseudomonadota; Alphaproteobacteria; Sphingomonadales; Sphingosinicellaceae. RNAcentral also lists the same sequence under 3 other names. The record is from RNAcentral.
GAGCCCUUAGCUCAAUCGGUAGAGCAACUGACUUUUAAUCAGUAGGUCGCGGGUUCGAAUCCCGCAGGGCUCACCA